This 377-nucleotide small RNA is filed under the name Atopomonas hussainii. Its description in RNAcentral is "Pseudomonas hussainii Pseudomonas sRNA CrcZ". It matches the Rfam family "Pseudomonas sRNA CrcZ". Lineage: Bacteria; Pseudomonadati; Pseudomonadota; Gammaproteobacteria; Pseudomonadales; Pseudomonadaceae. The record is from Rfam by way of RNAcentral.
ACAACAAAAAUAAAAAAGCUUGCUAACAACAACAAUAAAACUUGUGCAUACCUCAACAACAAAAACAAAAGAGGCAGGCCACGUAAGCUGAUUUUUUUGGAGAGGUAGAGAUCGCGGAGUCGAUCAGCUGUCGAGAACAAUAAAAACUGCCUAAGCAGUCGACCGACAGACAGGACACGCGUCCUCUACAGCGUCCAAAGCAAUCCGUUUAUGUUCGUGAGACUGUUUUAGUCAUCACACCGUGCACCGCGCGGCUAUGGGUAAAAACAAUAACAAAUGCCCAUGAGAAAAAUAAUCAUAAAGCACACACCUUCUAUGGCAUGGGGAGCUUCGUUCUCCCCUGUUGCUUUGACUUAAGCAACAUCAUCAUGCACCAU